Paramisgurnus dabryanus is the source of this 310-nucleotide non-coding RNA. NCBI's taxonomy places the organism in Eukaryota, Metazoa, Chordata, Actinopteri, Cypriniformes, Cobitidae. The record is from RefSeq and is a predicted model, not a curated record.
ACCGACACUAUGAUGAUCUCAGUGUAGUUUGUUCUUCAGUAUGUUUCUUCUUAUGAUUCUGAAGACUUCUUGAAGAAGCAAAUCUCUCUCCACAGAUCGAGCAGACGUAAGGUUUCUCGCCAGUGUGAAGUCUCUCAUGGGCUUUUAAGUGACCUGACUGAGUAAACGUCUUCUCACAAUGAGAGCAUUUGUAAGGUUUCUCUCCAGUGUGAACUCUCUGAUGAACAGUGAAUUGAGAUGGAUCAGAGAAGCUCUUUCCACACUGAGAGCAUUGGUAAGGUUUCUCGCCAGUGUGAAGUCUCUCAUGGAG